Non-coding RNA from Megalops atlanticus (tarpon), 79 nucleotides. The record is from the annotation of a GenBank genome assembly. Lineage: Eukaryota; Metazoa; Chordata; Actinopteri; Elopiformes; Megalopidae.
GGCAGUGUGGCGUAGUGGUAAUGAGUUGGGCUUGUAAUCGCAAAGGUUGCCAGUUCGAUUCCCCACUGGGGCGCUGCCG